UGGGGAAUUUUGGACAAUGGGCGCAAGCCUGAUCCAGCCAUUCCGCGUGCAGGAUGAAGGCCCUCGGGUUGUAAACUGCUUUUGUACGGAACGAAAAAGCCUGGGCUAAUACCCCGGGUCCAUGACGGUACCGUAAGAAUAAGCACCGGCUAACUACGUGCCAGCAGCCGCGGUAAUACGUAGGGUGCAAGCGUUAAUCGGAAUUACUGGGCGUAAAGCGUGCGCAGGCGGUGAUGUAAGACAGGUGUGAAAUCCCCGGGCUUAACCUGGGAACUGCAUUUGUGACUGCAUCGCUGGAGUGCGGCAGAGGGGGAUGGAAUUCCGCGUGUAGCAGUGAAAUGCGUAGAUAUGCGGAGGAACACCGAUGGCGAAGGCAAUCCCCUGGGCCUGCACUGACGCUCAUGCACGAAAGCGUGGGGAGCAAAC
RNAcentral lists this ribosomal RNA (426 nucleotides) under uncultured bacterium. Its description in RNAcentral is "bacterial SSU rRNA". It matches the Rfam family "Bacterial small subunit ribosomal RNA", at positions 355 to 773 of the family's 1533-position model. The record is from RNAcentral.